AAGUCGUAACAAGGUAUCCGUAGGUGAACCUGCGGAUGGAUCAUUAUGGAAUGGUUGGAUGAUUGUGAGUGGUUUUAUUAAUAGGAGAGUGGUGUUGGUUGGGAAGCGAAGCAGGAAUGCGGAGCAAGACAGCCAACAUUGCCCACGUUAAACUAUAUAAAUCUAACAUAAAUACACAUAACAAGAAACAACUUUUAGCAACGGAUCUCUUGGCUCUC
This 218-nucleotide unclassified non-coding RNA is filed under the name fungal sp. Its description in RNAcentral is "partial internal transcribed spacer region". The stretch from base 1 to 46 matches the Rfam family "Eukaryotic small subunit ribosomal RNA", at positions 1786 to 1831 of the family's 1831-position model. Lineage: Eukaryota; Fungi. The record is from RNAcentral.